UACUGAUGACGUUACAGUUUAUGCGACAGGUGAAGGUCGGAAGACAAACCCUUCCCAACGUGUUUUAUCCAUCUACAGUAGUAGUACUCUCUGAUCAAUCUCAUUUCCCAUCGAGAGACGGAUAUAAUAAAACCCAGAUACGAUGCGGUUGUUAAGUGGAGCGGUGUUGCGGGCCGCGAUGAGACACCGCUGUCGCUACUUUCUGUGGCACAAAACAACUGGAACGCCAGAAAAGGUCUGGUACUCGGCGUUUACGAGAGCGAGAAGGAGGACGACUCUCUCCAUCUAACUGAAUCAGCAGCUGGUGUCGACAGAGUUCUGUCUGGUAAACUGACUGAGCUGCUAAAGAUAUCAGGACCAGGUCUGAAGAAAGGGAAGAGCAGAAUAUUCUACGGUCUUCAUGAGGACUUCCCAUGCAUAGCAGUAGUUGGUCUAGGGAGGAACUCUCUGGGUGUGUGUGGAACAGAGUACUGGGACACCUGUAAGGAGAACAUCAGGGCUGCUAUAGCAGGAGGCUGCAGGGUUCUCCAGAACCAUGUGUUGACCCAUAUAGAGGUGGAUGGGU
Oncorhynchus gorbuscha (pink salmon) is the source of this 565-nucleotide long non-coding RNA. RefSeq lists it as uncharacterized. The record is from RefSeq and is a predicted model, not a curated record. The transcript is spliced from 5 exons. Lineage: Eukaryota; Metazoa; Chordata; Actinopteri; Salmoniformes; Salmonidae.